GAACGUGACGAAGCGGGGCUGCGGGUGGGCAGCUGGAGGGGGUGACAGGGUCUCCCCAGUCCCGGACCGGUGAGAGCAGUGCAGAGCCUUUGGACGACACCAGACCUCUGCUGGGGUUCAUACUCUGAACUCAAGGCUGGAACCUGGAGACAGGAACUGAAGCAGAGACCAUGGAGGAACACUGUUAACUGGCUUGCAUCCCUUCCCUCGGUUAGCUAGCUUUAUUAUACAACCCAAGCCCACCUACCUAGGCAUGUACCACCCACAGUGAAUUGGAUCCAGCUACAUCAAUUAGCAACCAAGAAAAUGACUCUGAAGAUAUGCCCACAGGCCCAUCUGGUGGAGGAAAUUCCUCAACUGUGAUGUCCCUCUUCCUAAAUGUCAAGUUUGACAGGUGAAUACGACAUUCCACCCCUUGUCAACUUUGGCACACAAGCACACCUCCAAUACAAAAGACACUCCAGCUGGACAGUGGUGGUGCACGCCUUUAAUUCCAGCACUCAGGAGGCAGAGGCGGGCAGAUCUCUGAGUUCCAGGCCAGCCUGGUCUACAAAGCAGGACAGAGAAACCCUGUCUCAACAAAACAAAACAAACAAACAGAAAAUUGCAAUGACUUGAUAGUCGAGGUUAUCUUUUUUUUUUUUUAAUAUCCAGUCUCUUAAAUCUGUGCUGCUGUAAAAUCCAAAAUAGUUACAUGCUUUCUUAUUUCAAAAGGGAAGAACCAGGACACAGAUAUUAUCAGAUCAAGCAAAACCCAACAUCCAGUAGUGAUAUCAAAGCCUGCAUCUCAGGGUCCAGCAUCUGGGACAUCUUCUGGCCUUCCAUCCACAGCACACACAGCUUGUCUUGUGGGCUUAAGUCAACUCCUUUCCACAACUGUUGCUGUCCUUUGGCAUUCAUCUCCAAUAUCCUGAGGUUUCCAUUGCAACUGAGACUGCAUCUUCACCACUGACCUCCUGGCCUCCCUUCAGGGACUCUGAGCCUGCCACAUGGUACCAAGCCUCAGCUGUUCCCAUGACCUUCAAAACCAGUACCAUGUGGGAAGACUCUUACACACUGUUUGCCAAGUUCUGCUGACAGUUUGAAAUGUAGCCUUGGCUCCUACUAGGCCACAGCUUCUGUAUGGUGACCCUGAGAAAUACUUCCCAGGAGACUUUGCCUCAAUGAUAUUGGUUUCUUAUUCAUCACCGCUGAUAUUUCAGCCCUAGCUAACCAACAUGCAUUGUUCCAUUAAAGCAAAAGUUUUACUUCCA
This is a non-coding RNA of Cricetulus griseus (Chinese hamster), 1253 nucleotides long. The record is from RefSeq and is a predicted model, not a curated record. Lineage: Eukaryota; Metazoa; Chordata; Mammalia; Rodentia; Cricetidae.